This is a long non-coding RNA of Momordica charantia (bitter melon), 484 nucleotides long. RefSeq lists it as uncharacterized. The record is from RefSeq and is a predicted model, not a curated record. NCBI's taxonomy places the organism in Eukaryota, Viridiplantae, Streptophyta, Magnoliopsida, Cucurbitales, Cucurbitaceae.
GGGGAGAGAGAGCAGAGAAGAGGGUCAACCAUUGUCCAGAGUCUACAGCUUCUUGUUCAGAUUCCAAUCCGAUUCAGAAGCUGAAACAUGAGAAGAAAUUAUUUCCAAAGAUCGCCACAACGUCGUUCGCCUCCCUCAACACAAUAGCCUCCGGGAAUGAAAGGAUGACACACCUAUAGUACUUAUGAGACACGAUUCGUAUGGAAUAUAUGUUUGUCUCAAUCUUUUUGAACGAGGGACUUCUUAAAAUGGAUGUAUUUUGGAUUUAUGUACUAUUUUUUCCUUCAUAUAUAUUUACUUGAGAAUAUGGACUUAUGUUGGUAUAUGUAUUAGAAUAUUCUAAGAGUCUAUGUGAGCUUUUUUUUUUUAGGAUUAUAUAGUAUUCCGCUUUUACGUGGGUUGGAAAUUUGAGAAUUCUAUAUAUGUACUUUAAAAUUUCUAAUAUUUUGUAAGUGUAAAUAUGAAUUUACAUUCUUCCACCUAA